Non-coding RNA from Pseudonaja textilis, 177 nucleotides. NCBI's taxonomy places the organism in Eukaryota, Metazoa, Chordata, Lepidosauria, Squamata, Elapidae. The record is from RefSeq and is a predicted model, not a curated record.
CCACAAUCACAACAUUUAUAUGGUUUCUCUUCUGUAUGUGUUUUAAUGCAGACAUUCAAAAAGUUUCUCCCCAGUGUGAGUCCUUUGGUGUCUCACCAGAUUGGAAUGAAUGCUAAAUCUUUUGCCACAUUGGGAACAUUGGUAGAGCUUCUCUCCAGUAUGGGUUCUUCCAUGAAU